Molecule: ribosomal RNA, 253 nt
Filed under: uncultured bacterium
Lineage: Bacteria
Description: partial 16S ribosomal RNA
Rfam family: Bacterial small subunit ribosomal RNA
Source: RNAcentral
UACGAAGGGGGCGAGCGUUGUUCGGAUUUACUGGGCGUAAAGGGCGCGUAGGCGGCCUUCCAAGUCGAGUGUGAAAGCCCCGGGCUCAACCUGGGAGGUGCGCUCGAGACUGGCGGGCUGGAGUUCGGGAGAGGAGCGUGGAAUUCCCAGUGUAGAGGUGAAAUUCGUAGAUAUUGGGAAGAACACCGGUGGCGAAGGCGGCGCUCUGGACCGAGACUGACGCUGAGGCGCGAAGGCGUGGGGAGCGAUCCGG